Thalassophryne amazonica is the source of this 391-nucleotide long non-coding RNA. RefSeq lists it as uncharacterized. The record is from RefSeq and is a predicted model, not a curated record. NCBI's taxonomy places the organism in Eukaryota, Metazoa, Chordata, Actinopteri, Batrachoidiformes, Batrachoididae. The transcript has 3 exons.
AAUCCUCCAUGAUAUCUUAGGCAUGACCCGACUCGGGACUGGAAACAACAAAACCUACAACAUGAAGGAUGUAGCCCUGAGUGUGGUCAACUUUAGUCAAGCUACUCGCACAUCUAGCAUGUCCAAUAACAGGAUCCAGAUGAACCCUCCACAGCUUCUGCCACAGAACACUUCAUCCAUUCCGCAAAUUUGGAUGCCAGUCGAUGCCCUGCAACAACUUCCAGAAGAGGAGCGGGUCAUUGGUUUGGUCGCUAUAGUGUCACAGCCAGUUUGAGAUAGAAAAGGUGGAGAUUGUAUCAAUGGUUGUCAGGAUUGAACUGUGCGGAAAGAAACACCUCCAGAAUCUGGCGACUUCAAUCAAAAUUAUCUUCUCUGUUUGUAGUUUGACAUA